AAAACAAGGAUGAACGCUAGCGGCAGGCUUAAUACAUGCAAGUCGAACGGGAUUCGGGGUAGCAAUACUUUGAUGAGAGUGGCGCACGGGUGCGUAACGCGUAUGCAACCUACCUUUAACAGGGGAAUAGCCCCGAGAAAUCGGGAUUAAUACUCCGUAACAUUGCGGUGUGGCAUCACACUGCACUUAAAGCUGAGGCGGUUAAAGAUGGGCAUGCGUGACAUUAGCUAGUUGGUGAGGUAACGGCUCACCAAGGCAACGAUGUCUAGGGGUCCUGAGAGGGUUAUCCCCCACACUGGUACUGAGACACGGACCAG
This 317-nucleotide ribosomal RNA is filed under the name uncultured Bacteroidota bacterium. RNAcentral describes it as "bacterial SSU rRNA". It matches the Rfam family "Bacterial small subunit ribosomal RNA", at positions 26 to 334 of the family's 1533-position model. The record is from RNAcentral. Lineage: Bacteria; Pseudomonadati; Bacteroidota.